GGGCGCGUAGCUCAAUGGUAGAGCCCUCGUCUUAUACACGAGUGGUUGUAGGUUCGAGUCCUACCGCGCCCA
RNAcentral lists this transfer RNA (72 nucleotides) under Patescibacteria group bacterium. RNAcentral's name for it is "tRNA-Ile". It matches the Rfam family "tRNA". From Rfam's summary of the family: Transfer RNA (tRNA) molecules are approximately 80 nucleotides in length. The record is from RNAcentral.